GGGGAUUUAGCUCAGUGGCAUAAGCACCUGCCUUGCAAGCAGGAGGUUGUAAGUUCGAUCCCCAGUACCUA
Molecule: transfer RNA, 71 nt
Filed under: Cavia porcellus (domestic guinea pig)
Lineage: Eukaryota; Metazoa; Chordata; Mammalia; Rodentia; Caviidae
Rfam family: tRNA
About the family: Transfer RNA (tRNA) molecules are approximately 80 nucleotides in length. Their secondary structure includes four short double-helical elements and three loops (D, anti-codon, and T loops). Further hydrogen bonds mediate the characteristic L-shaped molecular structure. tRNAs have two regions of fundamental functional importance: the anti-codon, which is responsible for specific mRNA codon recognition, and the 3' end, to which the tRNAs corresponding amino acid is attached (by aminoacyl-tRNA synthetases). tRNAs cope with the degeneracy of the genetic code in two manners: having more than one tRNA (with a specific anti-codon) for a particular amino acid; and 'wobble' base-pairing, i.e. permitting non-standard base-pairing at the 3rd anti-codon position.
Source: Rfam by way of RNAcentral